This 530-nucleotide ribosomal RNA is filed under the name Microtetraspora malaysiensis. Its description in RNAcentral is "bacterial SSU rRNA". It matches the Rfam family "Bacterial small subunit ribosomal RNA", at positions 31 to 581 of the family's 1533-position model. The record is from RNAcentral. Lineage: Bacteria; Bacillati; Actinomycetota; Actinomycetes; Streptosporangiales; Streptosporangiaceae.
GAACGCUGGCGGCGUGCUUAACACAUGCAAGUCGAGCGGAAAGGCCCUUCGGGGUACUCGAGCGGCGAACGGGUGAGUAACACGUGAGUAACCUGCCCCUGACUCUGGGAUAAGCCUGGGAAACUGGGUCUAAUACCGGAUAUGACUACUUCGGGCAUCCGAUGGUGGUGGAAAGUUUUUUCGGUUGGGGAUGGACUCGCGGCCUAUCAGCUUGUUGGUGGGGUAGUGGCCUACCAAGGCGACGACGGGUAGCCGGCCUGAGAGGGCGACCGGCCACACUGGGACUGAGACACGGCCCAGACUCCUACGGGAGGCAGCAGUGGGGAAUAUUGCGCAAUGGGCGAAAGCCUGACGCAGCGACGCCGCGUGGGGGAUGACGGCCUUCGGGUUGUAAACCUCUUUCAGCAGGGACGAAGUUGACGUGUACCUGUAGAAGAAGCGCCGGCUAACUACGUGCCAGCAGCCGCGGUAAUACGUAGGGCGCAAGCGUUGUCCGGAAUUAUUGGGCGUAAAGAGCUCGUAGGUGGCUU